This 1422-nucleotide ribosomal RNA is filed under the name Escherichia coli. Its description in RNAcentral is "partial 23S ribosomal RNA". It matches the Rfam family "Bacterial large subunit ribosomal RNA", at positions 462 to 1869 of the family's 2925-position model. The record is from RNAcentral. Lineage: Bacteria; Pseudomonadati; Pseudomonadota; Gammaproteobacteria; Enterobacterales; Enterobacteriaceae.
AAGGCUAAAUACUCCUGACUGACCGAUAGUGAACCAGUACCGUGAGGGAAAGGCGAAAAGAACCCCGGCGAGGGGAGUGAAAAAGAACCUGAAACCGUGUACGUACAAGCAGUGGGAGCACGCUUAGGCGUGUGACUGCGUACCUUUUGUAUAAUGGGUCAGCGACUUAUAUUCUGUAGCAAGGUUAACCGAAUAGGGGAGCCGAAGGGAAACCGAGUCUUAACUGGGCGUUAAGUUGCAGGGUAUAGACCCGAAACCCGGUGAUCUAGCCAUGGGCAGGUUGAAGGUUGGGUAACACUAACUGGAGGACCGAACCGACUAAUGUUGAAAAAUUAGCGGAUGACUUGUGGCUGGGGGUGAAAGGCCAAUCAAACCGGGAGAUAGCUGGUUCUCCCCGAAAGCUAUUUAGGUAGCGCCUCGUGAAUUCAUCUCCGGGGGUAGAGCACUGUUUCGGCAAGGGGGUCAUCCCGACUUACCAACCCGAUGCAAACUGCGAAUACCGGAGAAUGUUAUCACGGGAGACACACGGCGGGUGCUAACGUCCGUCGUGAAGAGGGAAACAACCCAGACCGCCAGCUAAGGUCCCAAAGUCAUGGUUAAGUGGGAAACGAUGUGGGAAGGCCCAGACAGCCAGGAUGUUGGCUUAGAAGCAGCCAUCAUUUAAAGAAAGCGUAAUAGCUCACUGGUCGAGUCGGCCUGCGCGGAAGAUGUAACGGGGCUAAACCAUGCACCGAAGCUGCGGCAGCGACGCUUAUGCGUUGUUGGGUAGGGGAGCGUUCUGUAAGCCUGUGAAGGUGUGCUGUGAGGCAUGCUGGAGGUAUCAGAAGUGCGAAUGCUGACAUAAGUAACGAUAAAGCGGGUGAAAAGCCCGCUCGCCGGAAGACCAAGGGUUCCUGUCCAACGUUAAUCGGGGCAGGGUGAGUCGACCCCUAAGGCGAGGCCGAAAGGCGUAGUCGAUGGGAAACAGGUUAAUAUUCCUGUACUUGGUGUUACUGCGAAGGGGGGACGGAGAAGGCUAUGUUGGCCGGGCGACGGUUGUCCCGGUUUAAGCGUGUAGGCUGGUUUUCCAGGCAAAUCCGGAAAAUCAAGGCUGAGGCGUGAUGACGAGGCACUACGGUGCUGAAGCAACAAAUGCCCUGCUUCCAGGAAAAGCCUCUAAGCAUCAGGUAACAUCAAAUCGUACCCCAAACCGACACAGGUGGUCAGGUAGAGAAUACCAAGGCGCUUGAGAGAACUCGGGUGAAGGAACUAGGCAAAAUGGUGCCGUAACUUCGGGAGAAGGCACGCUGAUAUGUAGGUGAAGUCCCUCGCGGAUGGAGCUGAAAUCAGUCGAAGAUACCAGCUGGCUGCAACUGUUUAUUAAAAACACAGCACUGUGCAAACACGAAAGUGGACGUAUACGGUGUGACGCCUGCCCGGUGC